This 254-nucleotide ribosomal RNA is filed under the name uncultured bacterium. Its description in RNAcentral is "partial 16S ribosomal RNA". It matches the Rfam family "Bacterial small subunit ribosomal RNA", at positions 524 to 776 of the family's 1533-position model. The record is from RNAcentral.
UACGAGGGGGGGCGAGCGUUGUCCGGAAUUAUUGGGCGUAAAGAGCUUGUAGGCGGUUUGUCGCGUCUGCCGUGAAAAUUCGAGGCUCAACCUCGAACUUGCGGUGGGUACGGGCAGACUAGAGUGUGGUAGGGGAGACUGGAAUUCCUGGUGUAGCGGUGAAAUGCGCAGAUAUCAGGAGGAACACCGAUGGCGAAGGCAGGUCUCUGGGCCACUACUGACGCUGAGAAGCGAAAGCAUGGGGAGCGAACAGG